Molecule: ribosomal RNA, 468 nt
Filed under: uncultured bacterium
Lineage: Bacteria
Description: partial 16S ribosomal RNA
Rfam family: Bacterial small subunit ribosomal RNA
Source: RNAcentral
GACGAACGCUGGCGGCGUGCUUAACACAUGCAAGUCGAACGGAAAGGCCCUGCUUUUGUUGGGUGCUCGAGUGGCGAACGGGUGAGUAACACGUGAGUAAACUGCCCUUGACUUUGGGAUAACUUCAGGAAACUGGGGCUAAUACCGCAUAGGAGCUCCUGCUGCAUGGUGGGGGUUGGAAAGUUUCGGCGGUUGGGGAUGGACUCGCGGCUUAUCAGCUUGUUGGUGGGGUAGUGGCUUACCAAGGCUUUGACGGGUAGCCGGCCUGAGAGGGUGACCGGCCCCAUUGGGACUGAGGUACGGCCCAGACGCCAACGGGAGGCAGCGGGGGGGAAUAUGGCGCAGUGGGCGGAAGCCUGAUGCAGCGACGCCGCGUGCGGGAUGACGGCCUUCGGGUUGUAACCCGCUUUCGCCUGUGACGAAGCGUGAGUGACGGUAAUGGGUAAAGAAGCACCGGCUAACUACGUG